UUCGAUCAUGGCUCAGAUUGAACGCUGGCGGGAUCACUUUACAUACCGUCGGGCAGCAGCACGGACUUCGGUCUGGUGGCGAGUGGCGAACGGGUGAGUAAUGUAUCGGAACGUGCUAGUAGCGAGGAUAACUACGCGAAAGCGUAGCUAAUACCGCAUACGCCCUUCGGGGAAAGCGGGAACCUUCGGGCCUCGCGUUAGAGCGGCGAUAUCCAGUUUUGGCUAGUUGGUGGGGUAACGACCGCAAGGCGACGAUCCGUAGCUGGUUUGAAGGACAGCCACCGGACUGAGACGGCUUCAGACUCACAGGAGGCAGCAGUGGGGAAUUUUUGGACGGUUAAUGGGGGAAACCCUGAUCCAGCCAUCGCGUGUGCGAUGAAGGCCUUCAGGUUGUAAAGCACUUUUGGCAGGAAAGAAACGGCACGGGAUAAUACCCCGUGCAACUGACGGUACCUGCAGAAUAAGCACCGGCUAACUACGUGCCAGCAGCCGCGGUAAUACGUAGGGUGCAAGCGUUAAUCGGAAUUACUGGGCGUAAAGCGUGCGCAGUGGUUCGGAAAGAAGACAUUGAAAUCCCAGAGCUUAACUUUGGAACUGCAUUUUUAACUACCGAGCUAGAGUGUGUCAGAGAGUGGAAUUCCGCGUAGCAGAACGAAAUGCGUAUGCGGAGGAACACCGAUGGCGAAAACGGCCUCCUGGGAUAACACUGACAACUCGUGCACGAAAGCGUGGGGGUGAACAGAGUUAGAUACCCUGGUAGUCCACGCCUAAACGAUGUCAACUAAACAUUUGGGGCCUUCCAGACCUUGGUAAGCGCAGGCUUGCGCGUGAGUUGACCGCCUGGAAGUACGGUCACUGGGUCAAACUCAAAGGAAUUGACGGGGACCCGCACAAGCGGUGGAUGAUGUGGAUUAAUUCGAUGCAACGCGAAAAACCUACAUGACAUGUCUGGAAUCCCGAAGAGAUUUAGAAGUGCUCGCAAGAGAACCGGAACACAGGUUAGCAUGGCAUGUCGUCGACCGUGUCGUGAGAUGUUAGGUUAAGUCGGGUAACAGGCGCAGCCCUUGUCAUUGGAUUUGCUACGAAGAGGCCUCUAAUGAGACUGCCGGUGAUCGACAAACCGGAGAAGGUGGGGAUGACAUCAAGUCUCGCUGGCCCUUAUGGGUAGGGCUUCACACGUCGCGCAAUGGUCGGGACAGAGGUCGCCAACCCGCGAGGAGCCAAUCCCAGGAAACCCGAUCGUAGUCGGGAUCAUGAUCUGCAACUCGACUGCGUGAAGUCAGGAAUCGCUAGUAAUCGCGGAUCAGCAUGUCGCGGUGAAUACGUUCGGGUCCUUACCGCCAGCUGCACCAUGGGAGUGGGUUUACCGAAGUAGUUAGCCUAACCGUAAGGAGGGCGAUUACCACGGUAGGAUUCAUGACUGGGGUGAAGUCGUAACAAGGUAA
RNAcentral lists this ribosomal RNA (1445 nucleotides) under uncultured Bordetella sp. RNAcentral describes it as "partial 16S-23S ribosomal RNA intergenic spacer". It matches the Rfam family "Bacterial small subunit ribosomal RNA". The record is from RNAcentral. Lineage: Bacteria; Pseudomonadati; Pseudomonadota; Betaproteobacteria; Burkholderiales; Alcaligenaceae.